This is a long non-coding RNA of Dromaius novaehollandiae (emu), 8882 nucleotides long. RefSeq lists it as uncharacterized. The transcript has 3 exons. The record is from RefSeq and is a predicted model, not a curated record. Lineage: Eukaryota; Metazoa; Chordata; Aves; Casuariiformes; Dromaiidae.
CAUUAAUGCUGCUAUUGUAUACUGUUACUUUUAAGUGAAUUUGUGCAGAAAGGAGGACUGAAAAAAAAAAUGGUAUCAAUCCUGAUAUUAUUUCUAAACAAUAGGCUACAAUUAUCUUGGUUGGAAAUAAUUAUUUCCAAUUGAUUUUAAAAGAAUCAGAACACAGGAUGGGAUUCCUGCUCCCAAUCCAGCAAAGCUCUUAAACACUUAGUAGUUUUACCUUUCUGCAUCAUGCUCACAAGAAAGGAAAAUCUGUAGGAAAAUGCUGUCAAAAUUAUUUCUGCUAAUCAUGAUUUCUUUUUGUAUUGCCUUGCUAUGUUCCUGUUCACACAUCUGUCAGUCUGUUUCAUCUCUGUUCAGAAACACUUCUGGUGUUCUGUGACUUCAGAAGUGAUAGUUGUUUUGAAUGUCUCUGUUCUCAGCUCACUUGUAUGAGACAGGGUCUUGAUUAGAACUGGGCAGGGUUUUUUUGGUUACUGUUUUUUUACUGGAAACAACACUUUUGAUUGUUAUUUUGUGCUGAAUUUCCUCCACAGGUUUACCAAGGUAAGAAGCUGUGUUCUCCUUUUCCAUCAGAAACCCUCUGAUUAGGAUGCUCCCCUGGAAUGACAGAAGUCAAGGGUUCAAAACCAGUUUCUGCCCAUUUCAGAGCAGGAGUUGAAUCACUGCUUGGGAGCGUGUCUUAAUGUUACCAGGUAUUUUUUAAGUGCAUUCUCCUUGAUGUCUUCUGACACAGUUCUGUUUUUACACAGAACAUCAAAAUAUUUUUUGGAAUAUUUAGUGCAAAGUCCUACAUCAUUAAUAACAGAGGUGGAGUAACUGUUAGCAGAAAACCCAAUAGCAUAUGAUGUGGGCAUUGACAUGAGAGCAUUGACAAGUGUCUUCAUCACUCUUUUGAAAAGAGGAAGGCCCACAAAAUAAUGGGUAUGUGUUUUCGUUGCCUUUUUAAUUCACUGUUUCUUGGUUUCAGGAGACCAAGUUGGCAGUCAGACUCCUUAAAGAAGCCUUGAGUGUUUGACACCAAAAAUAUUAGUUAAUUCAUGUAGGAUUUUUUUAAUGCUAAAUUAUUGAUUUACAUAACUCAACAUGCAUGCAUCAGUGCAUCUUUCUUAUCUACACAUUCCUCCAUAACUAGUCACGACUGUAUGCUGUGUGGAAGGGUCAUCUUAGUUCCUUUCCCAGUAGUUGAAUUGUUCCUUUGAUAUAUUUUUGUUCCUUAUUUACUCAUUUGCCAGUUGCUCCCCUUUCUGGGAACAUUUGAAUCCAUAAUAAAUGGACUAACCUUCGAGUCUAAAAGGCCUUCCAAUAUUUUUAGCCUUUGCCAGGAAGGAAAGGAACCUACACAUCAUGAAGCUGAGAAGACAGAGUUUUUUGCCAAAACUCCAUCUUUCUCCCACUCCUUUUGCCUGGCCAUCUGGGCUUUUCAGAGAACAAGAAAUGACAAGUGCCUUCUGUAUCUACAAGUUUAAACAGUCUCUGCUGAAGGAAAAAAAAAUGCUUUCCACAUAUUCAUAAAAAGGAAAACAAGCAAGAAUUCUGCAGUAACUGAAAUCUGCUAGCACUUUAGGGAAAAUACAAUAUCCUAAAAAUUGCAGGUAGUUUUUGUCAGAAUAUGAUGGUAUGAAGAGAAUCAGUGCUAUGGCCAUCUUUGAAAGGAAUCUGAAAUGGAGUAUAUCUUGCAGCUGAACUGAAGACCUAAUUCUGCCAGUUCCACUGAGUGGUAAGUAGCCCUAAUGGCAUUAUUUAAGCAAAAACACUUAAACUGAUAUCUGAAUGAAAAGAUGGGGGGAGAGAAAUGGAAAGGAGGGCAUUUCCUUUAACACACACACACAAAAAGAUUUUCUUCUGAACAAUCUUAAAACUGAACUGUAUAAAAGUACCAAACAUAGUCACUAAGUGAAAUUUGAUUUUGACUUGACUAGCUUACGAUGCUUUCAAAUUUGCAUGCUAUGCAUCAUCAGCACACUUUGCAUGGUUGCUUUGUUCAGCUGGGGAAGUAUAUAGUAGCUUUGAGGGGAAGGUGAGUUUUACUCUCUGUUGGGGAGGAGAUAAUGUAUUACUCUACAUAAAUAGGAUGGAAAAUCGAGCCCUUGCUUAUUAUAGAGGAAUUAUUUGCCAGAGUCUGAUUUGCCCCCAUGUCUAUCUCAGUUACUACCUUCAUCACUAGUGUUUAUUUUGCACAGUUGAGCACUGCUUCUGCAGUCAGCAGGCCUGACUGAAAGUCUGAGACUGGAGUUGAUGGAUUUUUUUUUUUUAGCAUCCAUAACUGUACUUUCUGUAAGCUGCACUAUCAGUUCCUUGGGAAUAGUUAUGGAAAUGGAUAAUUCUUCUGAAUUUUUUUCAUUAGUGCAGGCAUCUUUUUUUUAUUUCAGAUUGAGAUGCAUAUAUUUUGGAGUCUCCUUCCCAUGCUGUGUUAGUAUUGUUAAUAUUUUCUGUUAUGAAAAGAGCCUCUGAUUAAGCUUAAAAGGCCUCUGUGUGAAGAGAAUGAGAAAUCAGAAUAUUUCUAAUAGAUGUUUGACUUACUAAUACAUAGCUGAUAGAAUUGCUAAGCACCUCUGCACUGUUGAAAGUAAAGAAAAUGGGCAAAUAGAAGAUUUACAUAGCAGUAGAGAAGGAAAAGAUUGUGGAAAAAUAUUCACACAGGUAUGGGGUGUUAAUUUAAUAUCUUUGCACAGGGUCCUCUUGAUGCCAGUAGUACUUUCAGCAGCAACUGAGAGCUAAGCAUAUGUUUGAGUAUUUUGCUGUAGUAUGACCUAAACCCAGAUUGCAAAGGAGAUGGUGCAUGGCAAAGUUGUGUUGCCAUACAUAACUGGUAAAGUACAUCUUUCCAGUAUGAGAACCCAUUGCCCUCUUAGAGGCUUAGACUCUCUGUCAUGGGAAGGGCAAGUUUGAACUCUCACAGGCACAGGGUGGAGUUCCGCCUAGAUCCACAUUCUGUCACAGAUGAAAAAUAAUUGCUCCUACUCUCUGUUUUAAGAGAAAAGAGGGGCAGUUUGUGUUUCAUGAACCAGCCCACUUUGUCAAUCCUCUCAUCCUCAAGAGCUGAGCAUACGAACUCUGUGGAGCUGCGGAAGGCUUGGGAAGAAAACAGCUACCAAGCAGCCAUGUGUUGAAGGCUUGGGUAGCUGCAUGUGUGCAGCCAGCAGCUGAAUCUUAGAAACUGGAGAGCUUUAAUGUGAAAAACGGACAUAUGUGGGCAGAACUGUCUCUAGUGCUGGGCAGCAGCUGAGUUUUUGACUACCAGAGCCAAAAUGUGAAAAAUAUGUUAGCUCAAGCUUAGAUGUAAUAGAUAUCUGUAACUUUGCAUGUGUUGCUCCAUUCUCUCUGUUCAAAGUAUCCCCUUUUAUUGUAAGAGCCAUGCUGUGAAAAAUCAACCCACAGCAGUCUUGUUCAAUCAGUCUGAGAACAGGCUGAAAUCAUAAGCCACAAGAGCUGUGAUUCCUCCCCCAAGUCUCCUCCUAAGAGUGCUAACUUCAAAGGUUGCUUUUGAGCAUUGAAAUACCAACUGUAUUAAACAAGUGGUCAAAACGCAAGCAACCAGUUUGAAUUGCUGAAACUUAAUUAAAAGUACCAGCUGGCUUCACUUCUGACUGAGGAUCCAUUGCAACAAAACAGACCAAACAAAAUUCCAGUCUAAACCCAGCUAUCUGCUGCUCCGCAAUGAAAGCUCAAUGCUGCAUGUGUCACUUUGAAGCCUAGGUGAAAGUUUCACUGUUUGGCGAAUGUCAUUGAUGUGUACGAACACACUUGCAUGAGGGCAGAUGUCUUCCUACUGAAGGAGGAGGGGAAAAAAUCUCUACAGGCUUCCUCUUCCCCGUGUCUGUUCUAAUUCUUUUGAAUCACAAAAUACGAGUGCCAGGUGUCAGUUUGCACAGAUGGAUAGUUAAUACGCUGCUCAUGUUGUUGUGAGGUGACUGCUGUUUGACUCGUAUCUUUUGAGCUGAGUCAUGAAGUGUGACUGUGUGGUUGUACAUUGCUUUGUCUCAGUGCACUGGGCAAGGAGGCGGCUGCUCAGAGCAGCUAUCCCGGACCGAGACGAAACACAAAAGCGGGGAUUUGGAGCGCGUGAGCAGGCACUGCUGAGCUGGUGCAUGCUUCUGCAACUGUGCAGAGCCAGGGCAGGCCCCCGCGUGGCAGUAAGGCCCUAGCACCACCACCCCUCUCCUACCAGCCGCCCCACAGGCACUUCACCAAGGUAUAAGGAAAGCCCCGAAGACAAUAUAGAUAAGGCAGCAUAAGAAUUCAGAGCAUUUGGAUGGAAAAGAUUUCUCUUAUUACACAGGCAGCUAAAAUGCUGAUCCUUCAAAAAUCUCAGGAUCAGCAAGUUGAGCAAUUAGCUCAAUCAGUAAAGAUUACUUAUUUUCACUCUUCAUAUAGUGCCUCUGCUGCACUUGGUUUUGGUCUGGGAAUUACUCUCAAGUGUUCCAAACCUUCUAAAUAGGCCUCAGGCGUGCCACAAACUAUUCUUUGAGGUCUCUCCACCCCCACGUGCAGUUUAUUUGAAAUCACUGCCUCUAGCUGUAAUUGUGUCCUGGAGCCUUUGCUUUAAAUGAAAAUGGCUUCAAGUUGAACUCUAACCCCUAUUAUCAUCCUCCAAAGGAAAGAGGCCCAGUGGUAGUUCUGCUCCUGCAAAGGUUUGAGUAGACCUACUUGACUCUGUCGGAGUGAAAAAUGAUCUGGAAUAGGUAGGCACAAAUGUUUUGGCUAGUGAUAUAUUAAUGGUUUCGUAAUAAAGUAUGAAUAGCUAGUCUGUGCCCCAUACUUUCCAUGUGAGUGACUUCAAACGCUUCCCAGAUAUCUUGGCAUUAUAUUGCGUUAUUGCCUUUGUUGGUAAGAUAGUGUGACAGAGAGCAGCUUAGGAGAGACUUGGGGGGAGGGGGCAAGGGAGCGCCUGGAGAGUGGGAGCAAGUACUGAGAGGGACUUGCUGCUCCUCAGAACAGGCAUACUGUGCAAAAGGAGAGCUGUGGCCCCAAAGCUUUCGAAAGGUCAGCGAUUGGCUUUUGUUCGAUUAGCAGUGGUACGUGCUUUCAGUCCUGGGCAGCUGAGUUGUGAAGAUUAACAGUUUUCUCUCAUUUUCCUCAAUAUACAAUUGAUUGGCGCAGGGAAGGGAUUGAAGGGGUUCCAGCCACUCAGUAACGCUUUCUCCUGCAAAAGCGUUUGACAAGUGCAUUUUCAGUUGUGUGCUUAAAAUCAGUUUCGUGCUUUAGAUAUAAGCUAAGUUUAAAAAUGACAGGUUUAAGAAUAUUGAUAUGAUGCCAGUCUAGUUUUUCAGUUAAAUGAUAGAUUGGCAACCAUGUAAUUGAUUUCCAGUGUUUAAUUCUGCUCACUACUUUGAAGAUGAAAACAGUGCCUGAACUCUUAACUUUUCUAUACGGUAUUUAAAUCAAUCAUUUGAUUUUUCAUAAUAAAUAGAUAUUUUAAAAAUUCACACAUUGCAGCUCGGCUUUUUAUUUUAAUGCUUGUAAAGGCAAGGUCCUAACGAGCAGUCUCCUCAAGUUCACUUUUAAAAUAAAAUUCAAUGAUGAAAGUGUAAAAUAUUAGAAGACAGCAGGUAUAGGUACAACAGAUUGCAGCCUUGCUUAACAAGGAGGAGGGAACUGAAAGAUGGAAGGUUCUGUGCAUUGUGUACUGCAGGCAGUACUGCUCCUAGCAGUCCCCAGUGUAGAUGAGUUGUCUAUAGUUUCUGUAGAUUUAUGACUGCUAAGGCCAAGAGAUGAAUUUCUUCUGGUUAAUUGUCCUUGUUUUUUGGUGGCCAAGCUUCCUGUCAUUUUAUUCCACCAAGCUAUGGAGGUGAAAAGCUUAGAAUUGGGUACACCUGUGCCUAGCUCUAUAUUUACAGCUGCAUUUAAUCUCACUUUCACUGAAAUCAGCAACUUUCUGGUAAGCAGAGUUUUACUCAGUGCUGUUCUGUUUUGUUUUUCUUUUGUCUGAUUGAAAAGAUGAGCUUAGGAGGCUUACUUUGUGGGUUAACUUCACUUGUUUUAUUCUUAACUUUGCAGUUUCUACUCUCUUACAUUCUCAACAAGUGUAACACCACAGUAAAAACUAUACAUGCUACAAAUAAACCACAAAAGAUGUUAUACUGAUAAAUGUCUUGCAUCUUCAACUACAGUAAUAUGAGGCCUGCUUUAUAAUUCAUCCAUUGGGGAUUUUGUGUUUAUUUUGAAGCCUCUGACGUAUGCUUACUAGACUAACAGAAAACUGCAUACUGAGACUCUUAAGAACAGUGAUUACAGAUCAUUUUUUAAACCUUGUGAGUACUUCUAGACUGAGACCUGCCUAGCAUGUUAUAAGAAAUGCAGUAUUAUAAAUCAUGCUGUCCUACUUAAUCACCAUGGCUUACCUUAAUAACCCUUGAAAACCAGUUUCACCACUGCUUUGAUGGUAGCUGGAGUGACUUUAGCACUGUUGAGAACAGCUAGAUACUGGCCUGCAUGGGGAAGGCAACACAGUUCUCAUGCCACUUACCACUGUGGCAAUAUGGAGGGUUUCUGAGACACCAAAUAAGAAAUCUGGCUAGGAAGCCCACUAGGCAAAUCAUCUCUGUGUGUGUGGUGUGGGACAGAAUUGGGUCAGAGCCUAUUGCAGUUCAUGGAUCACAGUAGUUACUAUGGAUUUGCUUUUGUGUUUGCUACUUAGUGUUGUAUUCCCUGCCCCCAUGCAAAUUUGUUUUUUUUAAAUUCUGUUUCUGCAUAAGAAGAAAGUCUCUGGACCCACAGCAUUUGGUGAGUUUCUUAGCAACACCAUGUUUUGAGCAAUACAGUUAGCUUUCCCCAUCAGCAUGCCCAAAGUAGCUGAGCAACUAUGGUCUUGUCUUUUCACAGAAAGAAUUAUGGGUUUUGUAAUUAAUUUCUGGUUUCGUGGAAAGUAGUGCUUUUUUGCAUCUCAUUUCUCAUAGUAAAAUGGGUACAUACUGUGAACAUCUAUGAGGUGGUCAGUACUACAGUACCAGAGGAGCUCCCCAAGUGUUUAUGAAAUGUCUUUAAAAAUAACAUAUCUAAAAGGGCAUAAUAUUUUACCACGUAACAUGCUUAUAAAAAUGAAAAUCACUCAAUUUCACUGUUAUUUCUUUCUGUAAUGUUUGGCAGCUGUUAUUUUAAUGAAGGGAAUUUAGAAAGCAAGAACUAUUUGACUUGACUAAAUGUUUUAUCAUCCUUUACAGCAGUUCAUUGUAUCUUCAUCCAGCUGAGUUUAUGGUAAUUCCAUUAUGAAUAAGAUGGGAAGACAAGAACUUAUAGUUUUAAAAUAUAAUUUGUCCAAAAGAUACCAUAUUAAAAUACUGAUUUUAAAUGGUAUGUACUACUUUAUGUGCAUUUAUUAAAGAGUCACUGUUGAACAGUGGCUACAAGUUCAAGAAAAGUGAAGUGUUAUGGAAGACAUCCAGAUUUUUGCAGUGAUUUUACAAAAAAUUGAUUCAGAGUGGAAGGAAGAAGUCUUGACACCAGUUCUGUGGCUUCAGAAAAUUCAGUGAAGUAUGGUGCACAGAAUGAGCUCAAACAUGCCUACGCAAUUGAUGUUAACGUAGGUGAGAGGCUCCCUGUGUAAUGCCAAUGAAAGAAAGCUGUUUAAGAGAAUUACCAAUGUGAGGUUCUGAGGAAGGAGUUGUAUUUUAAAGACUAAAACUCUCUGAGGUAUAAACACUUUAACUAAUAAAACUGGACUCUACCUAAGAUUCCUGGUCACUUUAUCCUAAAAAUAAGCAUUACUAAGGAUCAGACAACAAGAACUUAUGACAGUUCGUAUUUGCAUUUAGGCACAUUAAGCUUUACUUUGGGUACUUGAGUCCUUUGGUGGAUCUGCCUAUCAGUUGUGGGGGGGUUUUUUGUUUGUUUGUUUGUUUGUUUUUUGUUAUCCUACAUUUAAAAUGACAAUAGUAUUUUAUGUUUCAUAGAGACCUGUAAUUUUGAGGUUGAAAUAAUAUCCAUUUCUACUAUCCUAUACGUAUUGUAAGAUUGCCAUCUGCAUAGGAAUGUCAUUAUUCUCAGCUGUUGCUAGCGGAUGAUGCUUCUGAGGAGUAUCCCAGACGGAAAGCGGAAAGCAAGUGAGCAAGAGUUUCUAUUUCCUUAGUUUAUAUGGAUGUGUAAAUGUUGCUGGGUAACAUGACUCAGCGCACAGCUUUAUGAAGUAGAUGGGAUUGUGUUAACUUACACAGCAAGCAUAAAUUAUUUUCCAUAAAUAGUGAUACUGCAGUUUAGCUCUGCAGGGUCAUUAGAGAUAAACUUAGAGAAGGAGCUAAAAUUUACUUUCUAAAAAGUAGCAUUUCUUUACAAUUUUCACUCCCCCCAUACAUACCAUAGAACCAUUCAGAUGGUGGGGGAGAGAGGAGGCAUUGCUUGUGUAUGCUCCUAUGUGUUUCUUACUGCAGUACUUAAUUAUAGUGUACACACACUGUCAGGUUUUUCAUGGCGAAUGGUAAAGUAUGUAUAUAAAACAGUUGGCAGGGAUGAUUUAAUAAUAUCUGUGCUAAAUUGAAAGUGUACAGAAUUAAAAACUCAGACUAUGCUUUACAUUUUAAAUUGCCUUAAAAACAACAUAGGAUGUGAUCAACACCCCUCCUCCCCCCAGUAACUAAGAUAGACCUUUUAGACCUUCCUGCUUUAUGUGAAGGGGUUCUUCUGAUUCCUCUUCAUGAUUUUAGCAGAACAAUCUGCUGCUUGUAAGAAAAGUUCCAGUUCCCGGCAGUAGAGGACAGUAAUAUGUGGCUCACUAUUACGAAUCAGUUGCUUUAAAAAGAAAAAGGAAAAAAAAAAAAAAAAAAGUACUGCCUUUUUUAUAUGUUUUACUUAUUUUCUGGCUUGUGGGAUGAUCACGUCUCUAAGCUCAAAUGUCUGUCGUCUUUAGUUCAUAUUCCUCUCUUCUUUUCCUCCCUCCUUCCCCGCCC